GUCUACCGCCAUGCUACCCUGAACAAACCCAAUCCCAUCUGAUCUCAGAAGCUAAGCAAGGUCAGGCCUGGUUAGUAUUUGAAUAGGAGACUACCUAGGAAGACCAGGUGCUUUAGGUG
This 119-nucleotide ribosomal RNA is filed under the name Pteropus alecto (black flying fox). Lineage: Eukaryota; Metazoa; Chordata; Mammalia; Chiroptera; Pteropodidae. The record is from RNAcentral.